This 430-nucleotide ribosomal RNA is filed under the name bacterium. Its description in RNAcentral is "partial 16S ribosomal RNA". It matches the Rfam family "Bacterial small subunit ribosomal RNA", at positions 355 to 776 of the family's 1533-position model. The record is from RNAcentral.
UGGGGAAUAUUGGACAAUGGGCGGAAGCCUGAUCCAGCCAUGCCGCGUGUGUGAAGAAGGCCUUUUGGUUGUAAAGCACUUUAAGCGAGGAGGAGGCUACUUGGAUUAAUACUCUAGGAUAGUGGACGUUACUCGCAGAAUAAGCACCGGCUAACUCUGUGCCAGCAGCCGCGGUAAUACAGAGGGUGCGAGCGUUAAUCGGAUUUACUGGGCGUAAAGCGUGCGUAGGCGGCUUCUUAAGUCGGAUGUGAAAUCCCUGAGCUUAACUUAAGAAUUGCAUUCGAUACUGGGAAGCUAGAGUAUGGGAGAGGAUGGUAGAAUUCCAGGUGUAGCGGUGAAAUGCGUAGAGAUCUGGAGGAAUACCGAUGGCGAAGGCAGCCAUCUGGCCUAAUACUGACGCUGAGGUACGAAAGCAUGGGGAGCAAACAGG